CCAAUAGCGUAUAUUAAAGUUGUUGCAGUUAAAAAGCUCGUAGUUGAAUUUCGGGAUUGACGUGAUGGUCAUGCCUUAAGGGGUAUGAACUGUCACAGUUGAUUUCUCACCUUCUGGAGAAACUUGAUGUCCUUUAUUGGGUGUCUUGCGGAUCCAGGACCUUUACCUUGAAAAAAUUAGAGUGUUUAAAGCAGGCAUUUUUGCUCGAAUACAUUAGCAUGGAAUAAUAGAAUAGGACGGCAUGGUUCUAUUUUGUUGGUUUCUAGGAUCACCGUAAUGAUUAAUAGGGAUAGUUGGGGGCAUUAGUAUUCAAUUGUCAGAGGUGAAAUUCUUGGAUUUAUUGAAGACUAACUACUGCGAAAGCAUUUGCCAAGGAUGUUUUCAUUAAUCAAGAACGAAAGUUAGGGGAUCGAAGACGAUCAGAUACCGUCGUAGUCUUAACCAUAAACUAUGCCGACUAGGAAUCAGACGAUGUUAAUUUUUUAAUGACUCGUUUGGCACCUUAC
Molecule: ribosomal RNA, 506 nt
Filed under: uncultured Glomeromycotina
Lineage: Eukaryota; Fungi; Glomeromycota
Description: partial small subunit ribosomal RNA
Rfam family: Eukaryotic small subunit ribosomal RNA
Source: RNAcentral